Molecule: ribosomal RNA, 1430 nt
Filed under: Gongromeriza pygmaea
Lineage: Eukaryota; Fungi; Ascomycota; Sordariomycetes; Chaetosphaeriales; Chaetosphaeriaceae
Description: partial large subunit ribosomal RNA
Rfam family: Eukaryotic large subunit ribosomal RNA
Source: RNAcentral
UUGACCUCGGAUCAGGUAGGAAUACCCGCUGAACUUAAGCAUAUCAAUAAGCGGAGGAAAAGAAACCAACAGGGAUUGCCCCAGUAACGGCGAGUGAAGCGGCAACAGCUCAAAUUUGAAAUCUGGCCCCAGGCCCGAGUUGUAAUUUGCAGAGGAUGCUUCGGGCGCGGUGCCUUCCAAGUCCCCUGGAACGGGGCGCCAUGGAGGGUGAGAGCCCCGUAUGGUCGGACGCCAAGCCUAUGUGAAGCUCCUUCGACGAGUCGAGUAGUUUGGGAAUGCUGCUCUAAAUGGGAGGUAGACCCCUUCUAAAGCUAAAUACCGGCUAGAGACCGAUAGCGCACAAGUAGAGUGAUCGAAAGAUGAAAAGAACUUUGAAAAGAGGGUUAAACAGCACGUGAAAUUGUUAAAAGGGAAGCGCUUGUGACCAGACUUGCGCCGGGGCGAUCAUCUGGCGUUCUCGCCGGUGCACUCGCCCCGGCCCAGGCCAGCGUCGGUUCGGGAGGGGGGACAAGGACGUUGGGGAUGUGGCUCCCCCGGGAGUGUUAUAGCCCAGCGUGUCAUGCCCCCGCCCGGACCGAGGUUCGCGCUCUGCAAGGACGCUGGCGUAAUGGUCAUCAGCGGCCCGUCUUGAAACACGGACCAAGGAGUCGAGGUUCUGCGCGAGUGUUUGGGUGCCAAACCCGCACGCGUAAUGAAAGUGAACGUAGGUGGGAGCCUCGGCGCACCACCGACCGAUCCUGAUGUUUUCGGAUGGAUUUGAGUACGAGCGUUGGGCCUCGGACCCGAAAGAUGGUGAACUAUGCUUGGAUAGGGUGAAGCCAGAGGAAACUCUGGUGGAGGCUCGCAGCGGUUCUGACGUGCAAAUCGAUCGUCAAAUCUGAGCAUGGGGGCGAAAGACUAAUCGAACCAUCUAGUAGCUGGUUACCGCCGAAGUUUCCCUCAGGAUAGCAGUGUUGUUUUCAGUUUUAUGAGGUAAAGCGAAUGAUUAGGGACUCGGGGGCGCUAUUUAGCCUUCAUCCAUUCUCAAACUUUAAAUAUGUAAGAAGCCCUUGUUGCUUAAUUGAACGUGGGCAUUCGAAUGUAUCAACACUAGUGGGCCAUUUUUGGUAAGCAGAACUGGCGAUGUGGGAUGAACCAUACGCGAGGUUAAGGUGCCGGAGUGGACGCUCAUCAGACACCACAAAAGGCGUUAGCACAUCUUGACAGCAGGACGGUGGCCAUGGAAGUCGGAAUCCGCUAAGGACUGUGUAACAACUCACCUGCCGAAUGUGCUAGCCCUGAAAAUGGAUGGCGCUCAAGCGUCCCACCCAUACCUCGCCCUCGGGGUAGAAACGAUGCCCCGAGGAGUAGGCGGCCGUGGGGGUCCGUGACGAAGCCCAGGGCGUGAGCCCGGGUCGAACGGCCCCUAGUGCAGAUCUUGGUGGUAGUAA